RNAcentral lists this ribosomal RNA (235 nucleotides) under uncultured Pseudomonadales bacterium. Its description in RNAcentral is "partial 16S ribosomal RNA". It matches the Rfam family "Bacterial small subunit ribosomal RNA", at positions 96 to 334 of the family's 1533-position model. The record is from RNAcentral. Lineage: Bacteria; Pseudomonadati; Pseudomonadota; Gammaproteobacteria; Pseudomonadales.
CGGCGGACGGGUGAGUAAUGCUUAGGAAUCUGCCUGUUAGUGGGGGACAACAUCUCGAAAGGGAUGCUAAUACCGCAUACGUCCUACGGGAGAAAGCAGGGGACCUUCGGGCCUUGCGCUAAUAGAUGAGCCUAAGUCGGAUUAGCUAGUUGGUGGGGUAAAGGCCUACCAAGGCGACGAUCUGUAGCGGGUCUGAGAGGAUGAUCCGCCACACUGGGACUGAGACACGGCCCAG